Molecule: long non-coding RNA, 1704 nt
Organism: Lolium rigidum
Lineage: Eukaryota; Viridiplantae; Streptophyta; Magnoliopsida; Poales; Poaceae
Exons: 4
Source: RefSeq, a predicted model, not a curated record
UUAUCUGAUCUCCCCAUCUCUCCCCGACCGCACCGCCUCUCAUCUCUCUUGCGAGGAAAAGGGGCGCCCAUGACGCAGAAGCCCGGCGGUCGGGAGCAGCGGAGAGGUGGAGGAUCUCAGACUGGAGCUGGAGGGGCUGGGACGGAAGGUAGCCGAGGGGACCUGGUGCGGAUGAGCAAGGUAGAAGGCAGCCGCGUCGUUGGGAGAGGAUGCUGCCACCGAGGCUGCUGUGACGGGUGCACCGGUGGACCUGCACGGGUCUCCCUCCGGACAGGUCGUCGUUUGUGUUCCCUUCGGUGAGAUUUUGGCGGGAGGAGUGCCGCCGGUGCUGGGAUGGGGAGCGGCACUGGGAUGGAGGAGGCUCUGCGCUUCCAUCAACCCUACCUCCCAAUCCUCCAUCUGCUUCCCCGUAGCUGCCAAACAGGGCCACACGCUAGAUCUGAUCAACCAUGCCACUGGGGGAAGGAGUAAAUAUGGCUAUUUAUUAAUUGAGAAGUUGCAAGUUUGGAUAUGAAAAUCUUAAUUCUCCUCCGUGGAUCUUGCUGCCCAUAGGAAGUCCAUGCUUUCCUCUCCAAAAGUGUCAAUAUUUUUUCCUUUAAAAUGGAGCCAAUGGUGCAUAACAGGUCAGAUUUUGUUUUAUUUGAAUUUAAGUUCGCUUUGCAAUCCCGUUUUCCUUUUUAGUUGGCAUCUGAUCGUGCACCUAUGGUUUGAUUAAGUUAUAAUGUUUGCAUUUGCAAAUACACUGCAAGAAGAUGGAAAGAAGCAAGUCUCUUUGAAAUAUGCCAAAGAUAAUCUAAUACGCAGGUUAGGCACUCAUGUUGUAUACUGAUUUGAUUUUAUUAUGUUCUACAAAAAUACAUGAAACCACAUAUGUUAUAGAACAGAUUCAGUGUCAGUAUUGUUGGAACUUCAGGUACAGCAGAAAUGUACAAACGCGCACCUUCUCCUAAUUAGUGUGUUGUCUUAAUUCCUUCUCUGCAUAGAUUUUGUUGGUAUACCUUUCUAUUAAGGCCCAAACACUGAAUCUUUCUAUGAAUAUUAAAGAAGUGUAGUGAGAAUGGUUUGGUUGUGGUGCAUUCGUGUACAAGAUUACUUUUCCGAUUGUUGAACUCUCAAAAGUAUUAGCCUCCCUGGAACUUGGUAAGUUAGACAUACUUUACUGGGCACAUAUAUACUACAAAUGUUUGCAUCCAAUUUUUCUGAAAAAUACUCCGCAAUUAAAUAUAUAACCAUUUCUGUACACAUAGUGCAACUUCAUUUGGUCGUCUAAAUAUAUGUCAAUGAACUAACUAAGAUAGUACUAUGAAAUGGUAUAUGAGCUAUGGAAGAAACAAGUUUAUUAUCCGACAGAUAAUUUCUUAUAAGUACGUGCACAUGGACUUAACAAGCAUGACAUAAUUCUUCCAGUUUUCCUGAACACAAAUCCUUCUUUCAAGCCACAAGGUUAGAGAUGGCUUGGUACUCUUGACUGUCUAUUCGAUUCUAGCAGAAGCAUGUAUGCCUACUAGCAUUGCUGGGGUAUCCUAUAAUUGUUGUAUUGUUACUCCUUACACAGCUUCUCAGAGGGCUGCUGCAAAUUGUCCGUGGCGGGGCGGUGCAUGGGCAUGCUGCUUUUGUUCGAGCAGGUGUUGUGUGGAAUGUUCAACUGGCUCUGUCUGCAGCUUUUGUUAGGCUUUUAAAGUGUAAGGAACUUCUUUGUUGUUU